GAUGAACGCUGACAGAAUGCUUAACACAUGCAAGUCGAUGGGGAAGUGGUGCUUGCACCAUGGUAACCAUGGCGGACGGGUGAGUAACGCGUAAGGAACUUGCCUGCGGGACCGGGAUAACAGCAGGAAACUGCUGACAAGACCGGAUAAGGUCAUUAAGCUGCAUAGCUUUGUGAUGAAAGGAGACGCCUGCGGAGAGCCUUGCGUCCUAUUAGCUAGUUGGAGGGGUAACGGCCCACCAAGGCGAAGAUAGGUAGCCGGCCUGAGAGGGUGGACGGCCACAAGGGGACUGAGAUACGGCCCUUACUCCUACGGGAGGCAGCAGUGGGGAAUAUUGGACAAUGGGGGCAACCCUGAUCCAGCAAUUCUGUGUGCACGAAGACGGUUUUCGGAUUGUAAAGUGCUUUCAGCAGGGAAGAAGAAAGUGACGGUACCUGCAGAAGAAGCGACGGCUAAAUACGUGCCAGCAGCCGCGGUAAUACGUAUGUCGCGAGCGUUAUCCGGAAUUAUUGGGCAUAAAGGGCAUCUAGGCGGCCUUUCAAGUCAGGGGUGAAAACCUGCGGCUCAACCGCAGGCCUGCCUUUGAAACUGAUAGGCUGGAGUACCGGAGAGGUGGACGGAACUGCACGAGUAGAGGUGAAAUUCGUAGAUAUGUGCAGGUAUGCCGAUGAUGAAGAUAGUUCACUGGACGGUAACUGACGCUGAAGUGCGAAAGCCGGGGGGAGCGAACAGG
Molecule: ribosomal RNA, 733 nt
Filed under: uncultured Leptotrichia sp.
Lineage: Bacteria; Fusobacteriati; Fusobacteriota; Fusobacteriia; Fusobacteriales; Leptotrichiaceae
Description: bacterial SSU rRNA
Rfam family: Bacterial small subunit ribosomal RNA
Source: RNAcentral